GGGAACUUUUCCCGGCUAUCAUAUCUCGAUCUUUCUCGAAACCAAUUCGUUGGACAAGUUCCACAUACUCUUGGAAGCCUGCACCUGCUCCAGGCGUUAGAUCUAUCUAGCAACAGGCUUUCAGGGAGCAUGCCUCGAGAACUCACAGAGAUACCUCAGCUGUCAUAUUUUAACGUGUCGUAUAACAAUCUGACUGGUGCCGUUCCGCAGGGAGCUCAGUUCAACACGUUCACCGAGGAUUCAUACAUAAGUAAUCCAGGACUUUGUGACUUCCCUCUGAGCCCUUGUGAUCCUAAAAACAACAGUUACAUCAACAGCACAGAAUUAAGAAAACCAGCAAAAGCGCCUCACCUGCAUACGGUCAUUAUUUUUCUUACUUCGAUCUCGUUAUGUUCAUUGGCGUUUAUGGCAUUGCUUAUAUAUUAUCCCUGCUCGCGGACAAAGGAAGAGUCAGAUGAGAUGAGCAUUAUCGAAGGAGAAAUUUGGAGUGCAACUCGAGGAUUCAACAAAGACAACAUCGUAGACAAGGGAGGAUGCAGCACGAUCUAUCGGGGUGUUUUGAGAGACGGGCAGACUGUCGCUGUGAAGGUUUACAAGCUUUCAGACCACACAGGCGAGGAGCAGUUUAUCGCUGAAUACAACAGCCUUAAAGACUUAAGACACAGGAACAUCGUGAGAAUCAUCGAGUGGUGUUCCGAGAGCAAGCUCAAGGCGCUAGUUUUCAAGUUCAUGGACAACGGCAGCCUAGAAAAGCAGCUUCACGAGCUUCAUGGGUCAAAUCUGCCAUGGACGGUACGCAUGAACGUCGUCCAGGGAGUUGCUAAUGCACUGAGCUACUUACACGAGGAGGCAGCAAGCACUGGACCCAUAAUUCACCGAGACAUCAAGCCAGCAAACAUCUUCCUGGACCAAAACAUGGAAGCACACCUUGGGGACUUUGGGAUAGCCAGGAAUUUACGACUGGAAAGCAGCAUGCAUUGGGAAAGCAAGCUCAAAGGCUCGAUCGGCUAUGUGGCACCAGGUACCUUAUCGUAUAGAGAGGAAAAAAAGGAAGCUGACGCUACUAAAAUAUGCAGAGUAUGGCUCGGAUGGAACAAUGACCACCGCCGCAGACGUCUACAGCUAUGGAAUCGUGAUUCUAGAGACGCUUACCAGGAUCCGACCGACGAGCGGCACGCUCAAAGAUAUUUCGCUGCGGAGCUGGGUGGAAUCACAC
This 1216-nucleotide long non-coding RNA is filed under the name Selaginella moellendorffii. RNAcentral describes it as "long non-coding RNA (SMOE_LNC000654)". The record is from RNAcentral. Lineage: Eukaryota; Viridiplantae; Streptophyta; Lycopodiopsida; Selaginellales; Selaginellaceae.